CCCUACGGGGGGCAGCAGUAGGGAAUCUUCCACAAUGGGCGAAAGCCUGAUGGAGCAACGCCGCGUGGGUGAAGAAGGUCUUCGGAUCGUAAAACCCUGUUGUUAGAGAAGAAAGUGCGUGAGAGUAACUGUUCACGUUUCGACGGUAUCUAACCAGAAAGCCACGGCUAACUACGUGCCAGCAGCCGCGGUAAUACGUAGGUGACAAGCGUUAUCCGGAUUUAUUGGGCGUAAAGGGAACGCAGGCGGUCUUUUAAGUCUGAUGUGAAAGCCUUCGGCUUAACCUGAGUAGUGCAUUUCAAACU
RNAcentral lists this ribosomal RNA (305 nucleotides) under uncultured bacterium. RNAcentral's name for it is "bacterial SSU rRNA". It matches the Rfam family "Bacterial small subunit ribosomal RNA", at positions 337 to 634 of the family's 1533-position model. The record is from RNAcentral.